AUGGCGUACCACCUGUCAAGCGUGUUUAGAGGUCUUAGAGCCCUAUUUCAAGGUAGCAGCACGGCGGGUCAGCUUGCUUCCGCGCCAGAGGAGAGCACGGCGGGUCAGCUUGCUCCCGUGCCGGAGGAGAGCACGACGGCGCACCUUCCUCCCAUGCCGGAGGAGAGCACCAGCGGCUUCACGGAUGCCUUCGGCCAGCCGCCCAACUCCUACCGCGAGUCCAUCCGGAGCGUGUGCGUCGUCCGCCCCGAGUGGCGCAUCAGAUCGAGUCUCUCCGAUCAGAGCAGAUCCACCUACUCCAGCGACUCUGGUGCCUUGAGAUCCAUCACCUCCGGCUACUCCAACUCGGCGUCCGUUGGCUCAUCCGAUUUGGGUAUCAGCGAGCUCACGAAGAUAGCUCACAGAAUGGGCAGCGAAGGUUACACUCAGCGCAUGGUACAUGCAUUCCACAGCGCGUCUCUCACGGAAUCAUUUGGCCUGGACCCUGCACUAAGGAAUUGGUUCGUCGAGCUCGACGUGGACUGGAUUCUCAAACCGCUGCAGUUCCAGCUCCAAUGUGGAUCUGGGUAUUGGCUGCAAGAGAACUAG
This 588-nucleotide ribosomal RNA is filed under the name Triticum aestivum (bread wheat). RNAcentral's name for it is "partial small subunit ribosomal RNA". Lineage: Eukaryota; Viridiplantae; Streptophyta; Magnoliopsida; Poales; Poaceae. The record is from RNAcentral.